UACGUAGGGGGCAAGCGUUGUCCGGAUUUAUUGGGCGUAAAGAGCGUGUAGGCGGCUAUGCAGGUCCGUUGUGAAAACUCGAGGCUCAACCUCGAGACGCCGAUGGAAACCGCAUGGCUAGAGUCCGGAAGAGGAGAGUGGAAUUCCUGGUGUAGCGGUGAAAUGCGCAGAUAUCAGGAAGAACACCCGUGGCUAAGGCGGCUCUCUAGUACGGUACUGACGCUGAGACGCGAAAGCGUGGGGAGCGAACAGG
Molecule: ribosomal RNA, 253 nt
Filed under: uncultured bacterium
Lineage: Bacteria
Description: partial 16S ribosomal RNA
Rfam family: Bacterial small subunit ribosomal RNA
Source: RNAcentral